GUAAUGAUCCGGUGAGUUAUAAUAGUGCUUAUAAUGAUAAUUGGAAUGGAUCAUCUGAGUAUGAGACAACUUCUGCAUCUGUUGCUUACUCUGUCUACACCAUGUCUGAGCCUAAGCACUUGUUCUACGAUCCGAAUGUCUACACGACCUACGAGUCUCCUCCUCAGUUUAGCAUCUAUCGCUCUGUUCAAGGCUUCAACGAGCCUGAAUUCGAAGAGUACGAUCCGACGCCGUAUGGUGGUGGCUACGAUAUCGCUGCAACCUACGGGAAACCUCUUCCUCCAUCGGUGAAAAUCUGUUACCCUUCUUCAACAUCUGCUCAGGGAAACCCUCCUUCUCCUCCAGAGGUUAUAGCUCCUGUUCCUCUAGGAAUAUAUGAUGGUGGUGGUGAAAAGAAAGUUGUUAAGAAACGUGUAACGUUCUCUGAGCCGUUAGAGGAAGCUAGACCAUUGGAAACCACUAAACAAGAUGAUCAUCAAGAAGAAGAAGAGGGGGAUGAGGAUGAGGAUGAAUCAGAAGAAGAAGAUGAAGAAGAUGAUCACAGUUCAAGCUAUGGAACUACUACUAAACCUGAAAGUGUAGAUACAGGAGAAGUGAAAGCUGUGUAUGUUCAUCAGGAAGAAGAGGAAAAAGAUGAUAGUUUAAGCUACGGAACUAGUAAACCUGAUACUGAAGAUAAAGGAGAAGUGAAAGCUGUGUAUGUUCCGUCAGGUUACGGCCUAGAAGCGACGGAUAUGUGCGAGGUGAUAUUCGGAGGCUAUUUUCCUUGUGUCUUACGUAACAAAAGACUCCAGGAGGAUCAAAAACGUGCGGCUGAAGUUUCUUGCUGGGAGAGCACAGAUUCUGAUCCGUGGAAGACGACUUCAGACUACCUUUUCGGGGAUUCGUAUCCGUAUGGUUAUGAGAAUAGGCUCGAGAGAAGUCAGUUCGAGAUAUCAUCUUAUGGUUACCAGAGGUAUUAACCGGGAGCUAUAGCUUCAGAAGAACACAAAUUUUUUAUAUGAUUAAUGAAGCUGAUGUAUUAGCAAUUUAGCAUGUAAGUUAUAUAUAUGCUUACAUGCUCUUUCUUUUCAUGGUUGGUCCAACGUUCUUAUGAAAAGAUAUUCAAGGUUGAUCAAUAAAUAAAUGUUACAACAAAGCAUGGUGUGUAGUUAGUAGUUACUAGUUAGACAUGUCAAUUUGGAAUAUAGAUCUUGAAAUACUAUUUUGUUUAUAAUAAAAAUAUGAUGUAAAACAAUAUAUAAUUAAAUAUUAAUCAAGCAAACACAUUUGUAUAAAAGUAUAUUCUAAAAUAUUUCUAAUGAAAUUUUUUUAUCCUAUUUAAAUAAUUUUACAUUUGAUUUAAAAUUCUUAAAACCUUUAAUAAUAAUUUAUUAUGUUAGUUUUUAAAUUAAAAUAUAUAAAUGAAUAAAUAUUCAUGAGAAGAUUAUGCCAUCGGCAAACACCUAGUUUGGUAUCAUGGGGUAUCGCGGUUCGACCAUUGGUCAUAAUUCUAAAAUUUUCAAUUUCCCCUUACCCAGCUUCCAAACCGAAUAAAUUAAAGACCGUCGAUAAACAAAACCGAAUCAAACCGGACCCAACCAGAUAUCACCCCAAACAACGUCGUUUGGAGAAUCGUCUCAAAACACAGUCAUCGUCAAGCCCUUUUGUGUUAUUCCUUCACCUAUUAAAAAGGAAAGCGUGAACUGAAGCAGUAAACCCUAAAACUCCCAAGCUGAGAAAAAAAGAUUGAGAGAGAGACCAAGUUUUGGAGGUUUCAGUGCGUAACUCAAGAAUCAAGAUGAUCAUCCCGGUUCGCUGCUUUACCUGUGGAAAGGUUUUUUUUUUUAACUUUACUCGACAUUCGACAAACAAGACAUCUCUGCUCUCUCUUAGCUGAUGUGAAUGUUUCUCGGUCGAUUAGAUAAACUCGUUUCGAGGGAUAAAGUUUUGACCUUUACUAAGAUUUGAUAUUUGUGUAGGUGAUUGGAAACAAGUGGGAUGCCUAUCUUGAUCUUCUCCAGCUCGACUACACUGAAGGGUAAGAUGAUUCUUUUUUAUUCAUACUUUGUGGUGAAAGGAGACUACUUUAUUUUGAAUUUUGAGAGAUAUUAGUUCAGAUGAGGGAGCAUAAUGAGGCACAAGUAUGAGAUUAGUUAACAGCAGAAACGAAACCAAUCAUAGAGUUUUGUUGUUCAAGGAUUUAGCUUUUCAUUUAAUCUUCUGUUUGUGUGCCCCCAUCUACUUUUGAUAUUUAGUAGUUUGUAGAUUUUUUUUGCAUUGUUAAAGAGUCGAAAGUAAAAUUUGGUUUGCUUUUGAUUAUGUUCUGUUCUUCAUAUGUUAUUGGAAGAGACUAUUAUGCAUAUCUUGUUUAUGUCAUUAGUGAACACUUUAUUUCGUUUUAGCCUCUUCUUGUUUGUUUGUUUGUUGCUCGGUCAAUAAAAAAGGUUACAAUGUGCUUUUUGCAGGGACGCACUUGAUGCGCUCAACUUAGUUAGGUACUGCUGUAGGCGUAUGCUCAUGACUCAUGUUGAUCUGAUUGAGAAGCUUCUCAACUAUAACAGUACAGUCUUCUUACUCUCUAUGUUUUUCUUUUGAGCUUUUUUUUGUCAUUAUGGAUUUAUACUGACAUCACUAUUUAUUUCAUUGCAGCUCUGGAAAAAUCAGACAACUCUUAAGAAAAGAGUAAGUAGGAAGAUGCAAAUCGUCAGAGGCCUAUAUACUAAAAAAACAUGUAUGAAACUCUCUGUGUUUGGUUUAGAAACUUCAAUCAAUCCGAGUCAUAUGUUGGUUUUAGACCGACGUUACCAUUUUGUCAUAUGUAUGUCAAUGCCUCUACUACGUGUUAUUAAUUUUUCUGAGCUGAAAGAUUUGCUAUCGUUCUAAGGAAUUCAUCUUUCAUUAGUUCUCAUGCAUUCAUGGGUUUUUUUUUUUUUUAACUUUCUCCUGAGUUCUUAGUAUCCUUGUGAAUUGGAAUUUAGAGAAACAAAAUGGAUAGGAUUUACGAGCUCAAAGCAAUGAGAAGGAGGUGAAAAAUGAUACUCUUCAAGAUCAAAUAUGCGACGACUACAAAUAUUUAAACAAAGAAAAUGGUGAACAUCAAUAACAAUAAUAGAUCUUCAAUAAAGACACUUCAUCCUCGUAGUGUUUUUCAUUGGAGUAGAAUUACAACGCUGGCUGUCCUCUUACCUCGAUAUUCAAUCGAAUCAGUUUAAAGCCUUUAGCUCCUGCACCCUAGAGGCACCACCGGCCACAUGGCAAAAGCCAGAGAGUCUUGGGCUACAAGGGGCAGAGCUUUUGAGCAGCAUAAGAAAAUUAAAGAAGUCAGGGAGGAAAGAACCCAUAGAGACCGUGGUUAUCGCGGUUUCCUUCCGGAAAAUUUGAAGCACGGAGGAACAGAGUUUUGACCCUGCCGUACUUCCGUUACUCCGGGAGAAAUCCAUGAUAUCCACGUCUUUGUGGGUUCCCUUCUCGCUGGCCAAAGCCAUUACUUUGCUUCCUGAAGCUCGGCUGAAUAUAUAUAUAUAUAUACUAAACUAACGAAUACCUCAUGAGGUUGCUUUCUUUUUGUAGACAUUAAGAUUUACGUUUCUUUGAAAGAUAACGAUACGUUUUAAGAUGCAUUCAAAUGGAGAUUUGAACAUUUAUGAUUUGAUCUUUGAUUAUGAAAUGAACAUUUAUCGUGGAAAUAAAGAUUUACGUUUGUUUGAAAAGAUAACGUACUCUAUUUUGUAGACAAACGCACAGAGUUUUUUUUUAUUAUGCUCGCAUACACUACACAAUGGUCCGAUCUAGUACACUGCAGAUUUGCACAGCAUGGAAGAGGCAAAGAAGAAUAUGUAUGCAUUCAGUACCACUACGUAUACUGGUUUCCAAUGCACCAUUGACGAAGAAACAUCUGAGAAGUUCAAGGGUGAGUUUUACUGAUUAUGGAAAGCUUCUAUUUUCUUACUGAAAGUUAUUCGAAGAUAAAAUGACUGCUCGUUCUUGAAAAAAUUCAUAGGUUUGCCUGGAGUUCUCUGGGUUUUGCCGGACUCCUACAUAGAUGUCAAGAACAAGGACUAUGGAGGUAACCCUAUACAAAGCCUCUUAACUGAUUUACAAUAUGUCUCUCUCUCUCUCUCUCUAACCUGUAUCCCUGUUUAGGCGACAAGUACAUCAAUGGAGAGAUUAUCCCCUGCACUUACCCAACCUACCAACCAAAGCAGCGCAAUAACUCCAAGUAUCAAAGUAAGAGGUACGAAAGAAAAAGAGACGGUCCACCACCUCCUGAGCAGCAGAGGAAACCAAGACAAGCACCACCACCACCCGCUUCUGAUUCCUCUUGAACGUCUGUCCCUUUGUACCGGAGUGUGUGAGAUUUUGAUCGAUGGAUUAGUCCCUAGCUUAUUCUAACCGGAUGUAAUCUGUGAUGAUAAUUGAUAAGACAGGCCCUUUGGUUUUGGUUACGGUUCGUUCCGGUUAACUUUGUAGCAAGGAAUCUCUGCCCACCGCCCGUUUCCACGUUUUCUUAAUACUUAAAUUCCAGACAAGACAAGAAAGUUGCGUUUGGUGGCAACUUUACCUGUAGGGUCACAACACACUCGUCACCAUCUGCAUCCGAGUUGUCCCCCACCUUAUCAACACAUCACAUGGAAUAAUACCCUACUACAUUGACUUAUAACCAAACGUUUCAAAUCAAUGUUCCACCUAAUCUUCUUCUUUCACCAAUAGCAGAGCAAGAAGUGACUUUCAAGAUCAUCAUUGAAGCUCUCUGAGGAUCAAAUUUCAAGAUGGCCAACUACUAUGAGCAUUACCAGAUCCCAUACGAUUCCAAUCAGGUUAAUAGUCUCUAUGAUCAUAACUAUUACGAUAACAAUCAACUGCAGCAGUUUGGUUUCGAGCCAAUGAGUUAUAAUAGUUAUGAUCCAGUGAGUUAUAAUAGUAAUGAUCCGGUGAGUUAUAAUAGUGCUUAUAAUGAUAAUUGGAAUGGAUCAUCUGAGUAUGAGACAACUUCUGCAUCUGUUGCUUACUCUGUCUACACCAUGUCUGAGCCUAAGCACUUGUUCUACGAUCCGAAUGUCUACACGACCUACGAGUCUCCUCCUCAGUUUAGCAUCUAUCGCUCUGUUCAAGGCUUCAACGAGCCUGAAUUCGAAGAGUACGAUCCGACGCCGUAUGGUGGUGGCUACGAUAUCGCUGCAACCUACGGGAAACCUCUUCCUCCAUCGGUGAAAAUCUGUUACCCUUCUUCAACAUCUGCUCAGGGAAACCCUCCUUCUCCUCCAGAGGUUAUAGCUCCUGUUCCUCUAGGAAUAUAUGAUGGUGGUG
This 5289-nucleotide long non-coding RNA is filed under the name Brassica napus (rape). RNAcentral's name for it is "long non-coding RNA (BNAP_LNC016898)". Lineage: Eukaryota; Viridiplantae; Streptophyta; Magnoliopsida; Brassicales; Brassicaceae. The record is from RNAcentral.